Molecule: ribosomal RNA, 1470 nt
Filed under: metagenome
Description: bacterial SSU rRNA
Rfam family: Bacterial small subunit ribosomal RNA
Source: RNAcentral
AGAGUUUGAUCAUGGCUCAGGACGAACGCUGGCGGCACGCUUAACACAUGCAAGUCGAACGAGAGAAGAGGAGCUUGCUUUUCUGAUCUAGUGGCGGACGGGUGAGUAACACGUGAGCAAUCUGCCUUUCAGAGGGGGAUACCGAUUGGAAACGAUCGUUAAUACCGCAUAACAUAAUUGAACCGCAUGAUUUGAUUAUCAAAGAUUUAUCGCUGAAAGAUGAGCUCGCGUCUGAUUAGCUAGUUGGUAAGGUAACGGCUUACCAAGGCGACGAUCAGUAGCCGGACUGAGAGGUUGAUCGGCCACAUUGGGACUGAGACACGGCCCAGACUCCUACGGGAGGCAGCGGUGGGGAAUAUUGCACAAUGGAGGAAACUCUGAUGCAGCGAUGCCGCGUGAGGGAAGAAGGUUUUAGGAUUGUAAACCUCUGUCGUCAGGGACGAAAAAAGACGGUACCUGAGGAGGAAGCUCCGGCUAACUACGUGCCAGCAGCCGCGGUAAUACGUAGGGAGCGAGCGUUGUCCGGAAUUACUGGGUGUAAAGGGAGCGUAGGCGGGAUCGCAAGUCAGAUGUGAAAACUAUGGGCUUAACCCAUAAACUGCAUUUGAAACUGUGGUUCUUGAGUGAAGUAGAGGUAAGCGGAAUUCCUAGUGUAGCGGUGAGAUGCGUAGAUAUUAGGAGGAACAUCAGUGGCGAAGGCGGCUUACUGGGCUUUAACUGACGCUGAGGCUCGAAAGCGAGGGGAGCAAACAGGAUUAGAUACCCUGGUAGUCCACGCCGUAAACGAUGAUUACUAGGUGUGGGGGGACUGACCCCUCCCGUGCCGCAGCAAACGCAAUAAGUAAUCCACCUGGGGAGUACGACCGCAAGGUUGAAACUCAAAGGAAUUGACGGGGGCCCGCACAAGCAGUGGAGUAUGUGGAUUAAUUCGAAGCAACGCGAAGAACCUUACCAGGUCUUGACAUCGUAUGCAUAGCUCAGAGAUGAGUGAAAUCUCUUCGGAGACAUAUAGACAGGUGGUGCAUGGUUGUCGUCAGCUCGUGUCGUGAGAUGUUGGGUUAAGUCCCGCAACGAGCGCAACCCUUACUGUUAGUUGCUACGCAAGAGCACUCUAGCAGGACUGCCGUUGACAAAACGGAGGAAGGUGGGGAUGACGUCAAAUCAUCAUGCCCCUUAUGACCUGGGCCUCACACGUACUACAAUGGCUGUCAACAGAGGGAAGCAAAGCCGCGAGGUGGAGCGAAUCCCUAAAAGCAGUCUUAGUUCGGAUUGUAGGCUGCAACCCGCCUACAUGAAGUCGGAAUUGCUAGUAAUCGCAGAUCAGCAUGCUGCGGUGAAUACGUUCCCGGGCCUUGUACACACCGCCCGUCACGCCAUGGGAGUCGGUAACACCCGAAGCCUGUAGUCUAACCGCAAGGAGGACGCAGUCGAAGGUGGGAUUGAUGACUGGGGUGAAGUCGUAACAAGGUA